AGUGGCGAACGGGUGCGUAACGCGUGGGUAAUCUGCCUUGAAGAUUGGGACAACUUCUCGAAAGAGAGGCUAAUACCAGAUAUGCUAUACGCAUGCAAAGGUAUGCUUUAAGAUGAGCCCGCGUCCUAUUAGCUAGUUGGUGAGGUAACGGCUCACAAAGGCAAUGAUGGGUAGCCGGUCUGAGAGGAUGGUCGGCCACACUGGGACUGAGAUACGGCCCAGACUCCUACGGGAGGCAGCAGUAGGGAAUAUUGCGCAAUGGGCGAAAGCCUGACGCAGCGAUACCGUGUGAAGGAUGAAGAUCUUCGGAUCGUAAACUUCUGUCAUUGGAGACGAAUGACGGUACCCAAUAAGGAAGUCUCGGCUUACUCCGUGCCAGCAGCCGCGGUAAGACGGGGGAGGCAAGCGUUGUCCGGAAUUAUUGGGCGUAAAGAGCGCGUAGGUGGUUUAUCAAGUCAUUUGUGAAAACUUUAGGCUUAACUUAAAGAUUGCAAGUGAUAC
This 501-nucleotide ribosomal RNA is filed under the name uncultured soil bacterium. Its description in RNAcentral is "bacterial SSU rRNA". It matches the Rfam family "Bacterial small subunit ribosomal RNA", at positions 94 to 633 of the family's 1533-position model. The record is from RNAcentral.